This 498-nucleotide ribosomal RNA is filed under the name uncultured eukaryote. RNAcentral describes it as "SSU rRNA". It matches the Rfam family "Eukaryotic small subunit ribosomal RNA", at positions 466 to 990 of the family's 1831-position model. The record is from RNAcentral.
AGUGACAAGAAAUAACAACUCUAGGAUUUCUUUAGAAGUGUAAUGAGGAUAAUUUACAAACUUACCGAAUGCAAUUGGAGGGCAAGUCUGGUGCCAGCAGCCGCGGUAAUUCCAGCUCCAAUAGCGUAUAUUAAAGUUGUUGCAGUUAAAAAGCUCGUAGUUGAAGUUCUGAUUGCUCAGGUUUCCAGCCUUAGGCGGAGAUACUGACAGUCAUCCGCUUGCAAACAUAUGUUCGAUCUUCACCGGUUGGCUAUGUGAGUAAGCACUUUACCUUGAGAAAAACAGAGUGUUCCAGGCAGGUUUGUCCGGGAUGCAUUAGCAUGGAAUAAUAGAACAUGACUGAAGUCGAUUUAUUGGUUUAAGGCUUUAGUAAUGAUUAAUAGGAACAGUCGGGGGCAUUCGUACUCAGCAGUCAGAGGUGAAAUUCUAAGAUUUGCUGAAGACGAACUAAUGCGAAAGCAUUUGCCAAGGAUGUUUUCAUUAAUCAAGAACGAAAGU